GACGAACGCUGGCGGCGUGGAUUAGGCAUGCAAGUCGAACGACGGUAGGGCUUCGGCCCUAUACGGAGUGGCGAACGGGUGAGUAACACGUGAACAAUCUGUCCUUACGUUCCGAAUAAUUGACCGAAAGGUCUUGUAAUGCGGGCGAGGAUGAAGGGAAGGCAUCUUUUCUUCAGGGAACGCGCAAGUGGCGCAAGGAGGAGUUCGCGGCCUAUCAGGUAGUAGGUGGGGUAAUGGCCUACCUAGCCGACGACGGGUAGCUGGUCUGAGAGGAUGGUCAGCCACAUUGGAACUGAGAUACUGUCCAGACUCCUACGGGAGGCUGCAGUCGAGAAUCUUGGGCAAUGCACGAAAGUGUGACCCAGCGACGCCGCGUGGAGGAAGAAGGCCCUUGGGUCGUAAACUCCUUUAGAGCAGAAGAAUGAGCCGCAAGGCUUUUGACGGUAUGCUCUGAAUAAGCCACGGCUAACUACGUGCCAGCAGCCG
This 486-nucleotide ribosomal RNA is filed under the name uncultured bacterium. RNAcentral describes it as "bacterial SSU rRNA". It matches the Rfam family "Bacterial small subunit ribosomal RNA", at positions 28 to 517 of the family's 1533-position model. The record is from RNAcentral.